This 67-nucleotide transfer RNA is filed under the name Cunninghamia lanceolata var. konishii. RNAcentral describes it as "partial tRNA-Leu". The record is from RNAcentral. Lineage: Eukaryota; Viridiplantae; Streptophyta; Pinopsida; Cupressales; Cupressaceae.
AAAAUUGGAGUAGGAGGAAAAUCCGUUGGUUUUAUAGAUCGUGAGGGUUCGAGUCCCUCUAUCCCCA